AAAAGACCGCAUGCCGUACGAUUCCGUUUAUAUAAACCCUGGGACAAGCAAAACUAAUCUACGGUGAAAAUCAGAACAGUCGUCGCCCGGCUACAGGGGAUUGUCUGGCAGAGGACAUUUUUUGGAGCAACGGAAAUGGUCGCUAACUCGAUGGGGCUGUGAGUUGCACGGGUGUAUCUAUUUGUCGAGAUGCACGUUAUGAUGCUGUGCAUUUUUGAGAUAGGGUUGUUGGUCUGAACAGAACCACGGAAAGCACUCGGAACAGUGCCAGACACAACGUCGGUGGUGCAAGCAAUUGCUUCUGGCUUCCUAUUAAUAAUACGAUGAUCAGAAACAAGACUAUAAUACGGCAAAAAUCUAUCGUGGUGGCUGCUGCGUUGGACGGCAAAGCAACACUUGCCUGAGCUCGGAAGGUCGUCCUGGAGGGCUAGCCUGCCAGCUGGAUUCAGCUGUGAAUGGCUUAAACCCUUUGAAAUUUCAGAUUCUCUUUACAGCCCAGGCUAUGGUCGAUUUGUGUUUGAGGCAAAAUGUAAAUAAACCCUGAGACUGUGGAGUGCUAGA
This is a long non-coding RNA of Artibeus jamaicensis (Jamaican fruit-eating bat), 561 nucleotides long. RefSeq lists it as uncharacterized. NCBI's taxonomy places the organism in Eukaryota, Metazoa, Chordata, Mammalia, Chiroptera, Phyllostomidae. The record is from RefSeq and is a predicted model, not a curated record. The transcript has 3 exons.